GACGAGCGCUGGCGGCGUGCCUAAUACAUGCAAGUAGAACGCUGAAGGAGGAGCUUGCUCUUCUGGAUGAGUUGCGAACGGGUGAGUAACGCGUAGGUAACCUGCCUGGUAGUGGGGGAUAACUAUUGGAAACGAUAGCUAAUACCGCAUAAUAACAGUUGUUGCAUGACAACUGUUUGAAAGGUGCAAUUGCAUCACUACCAGAUGGACCUGCGUUGUAUUAGCUAGUUGGUGGGGUAACGGCUCACCAAGGCGACGAUACAUAGCCGACCUGAGAGGGGGAUCGGCCACACUGGGACUGAGACACGGCCCAGACUCCUACGGGAGGCAGCAGUAGGGAAUCUUCGGCAAUGGACGAAAGUCUGACCGAGCAACGCCGCGGGAGUGAAGAAGGUUUUCGGAUCGUAAAGCUCUGUUGUAAGAGAAGAACGAGUGUGAGAGUGGAAAGUUCACACUGUGACGGUAUCUUACCAGAAAGGGACGGCUAACUACGUG
This 495-nucleotide ribosomal RNA is filed under the name uncultured bacterium. RNAcentral's name for it is "partial 16S ribosomal RNA". It matches the Rfam family "Bacterial small subunit ribosomal RNA", at positions 28 to 507 of the family's 1533-position model. The record is from RNAcentral.